UACGUAGGGCGCAAGCGUUAUCCGGAAUUAUUGGGCGUAAAGAGCUCGUAGGCGGUUUGUCGCGUCUGCCGUGAAAGUCCGGGGCUCAACUCCGGAUCUGCGGUGGGUACGGGCAGACUAGAAUGAUGUAGGGGAGACUGGAAUUCCUGGUGUAGCGGUGAAAUGCGCAGAUAUCAGGAGGAACACCGAUGGCGAAGGCAGGUCUCUGGGCAUUAACUGACGCUGAGGAGCGAAAGCAUGGGGAGCGAACAGG
Molecule: ribosomal RNA, 253 nt
Filed under: uncultured bacterium
Lineage: Bacteria
Description: partial 16S ribosomal RNA
Rfam family: Bacterial small subunit ribosomal RNA
Source: RNAcentral